GACGAACCGUGCGAACGUUGUUCGGAUUCACUGGGCUUAAAGGGCGCGUAGGCGGGCGGUCAAGUCGGGGGUGAAAUCUUUCAGCUUAACUGGAAAAGUGCCUCCGAUACUGAUCGCCUCGAGGGAGGUAGGGGCAUGUGGAACUUCCGGUGGAGCGGUGAAAUGCGUAGAUAUCGGAAGGAACGCCGGUGGCGAAAGCGACGUGCUGGACCUCUUCUGACGCUGAGGCGCGAAAGCUAGGGGAGCAAACGG
Molecule: ribosomal RNA, 252 nt
Filed under: uncultured bacterium
Lineage: Bacteria
Description: partial 16S ribosomal RNA
Rfam family: Bacterial small subunit ribosomal RNA
Source: RNAcentral